GACGAACGCUGGCGGCGCGCUUAACACAUGCAAGUCGAACGGAAAGGCCCUGCUUGCAGGGUGCUCGAGUGGCGAACGGGUGAGUAACACGUGGGUGAUCUGCCCCUUACUUUGGGUUAAGCCUGGGAAACUGGGUCUAAUACUGGAUAGGACCAUGCUGUAGGUGGUGUGGUGGAAAGAUUAGUUUCGGUAAGGGAUGAGCUCGCGGCCUAUCAGCUUGUUGGUGGGGUAAUGGCCUACCAAGGCGUCGACGGGUAGCCGGCCUGAGAGGGUGGACGGCCACAUUGGGACUGAGAUACGGCCCAGACUCCUACGGGAGGCAGCAGUGGGGAAUAUUGCACAAUGGGCGCAAGCCUGAUGCAGCGACGCCGCGUGGGGGAUGACGGCCUUCGGGUUGUAAACUCCUUUCAGCCAUGACGAAGCCCUUGUGGUGACGGUAGUGGUAGAAGAAGCACCGGCUAACUACGUG
RNAcentral lists this ribosomal RNA (469 nucleotides) under uncultured bacterium. RNAcentral's name for it is "partial 16S ribosomal RNA". It matches the Rfam family "Bacterial small subunit ribosomal RNA", at positions 28 to 507 of the family's 1533-position model. The record is from RNAcentral.